GAUGAACGCUAGCGAUAGGCCUAACACAUGCAAGUCGAGGGGCAGCACAUGAGUAGCAAUACGAUGGUGGCGACCGGCGCACGGGUGAGUAACACGUAUGCAACCUACCUCUAACAGGGGGAUAACCCGUUGAAAGACGGACUAAUACCCCAUAAUACAGGGGCUCCGCAUGGAGAUAUUUGUUAAAGAUUUUAUCGGUUAGAGAUGGGCAUGCGUUCCAUUAGCUAGUUGGUGAGGUAACGGCUCACCAAGGCGACGAUGGAUAGGGGAACUGAGAGGUUUAUCCCCCACACUGGAACUGAGACACGGUCCAGACUCCUACGGGAGGCAGCAGUGAGGAAUAUUGGUCAAUGGAGGCAACUCUGAACCAGCCAAGUCGCGUGAAGGAUGAAGGUCUUAUGGAUUGUAAACUUCUUUUGCAGGGGAAUAAAUAGCGGUAACGUGUACCGUUUUGCAUGUACCCUGCGAAUAAGGAUCGGCUAACUCCGUGCCAGCAGCCGAC
RNAcentral lists this ribosomal RNA (502 nucleotides) under uncultured bacterium. RNAcentral describes it as "bacterial SSU rRNA". It matches the Rfam family "Bacterial small subunit ribosomal RNA", at positions 28 to 518 of the family's 1533-position model. The record is from RNAcentral.